GACGGAGGGUGCAAGCGUUAUCCGGAAUCACUGGGUUUAAAGGGCUCGUAGGCGGCCAACUAAGUCAGACGUGAAAUCCCUCGGCUUAACCGGGGAACUGCGUCUGAUACUGGAUGGCUUGAGAUUGGGAGAGGGAUGCGGAAUUCCAGGUGUAGCGGUGAAAUGCGUAGAUAUCUGGAGGAACACCGGUGGCGAAGGCGGCAUCCUGGACCAACACUGACGCUGAGGAGCGAAAGCCAGGGGAGCAAACGGG
RNAcentral lists this ribosomal RNA (253 nucleotides) under uncultured bacterium. Its description in RNAcentral is "partial 16S ribosomal RNA". It matches the Rfam family "Bacterial small subunit ribosomal RNA", at positions 524 to 776 of the family's 1533-position model. The record is from RNAcentral.